This 123-nucleotide transfer RNA is filed under the name Candidatus Allofournierella excrementavium. RNAcentral describes it as "Candidatus Fournierella excrementavium (gut metagenome) tRNA-OTHER". The record is from RNAcentral. Lineage: Bacteria; Bacillati; Bacillota; Clostridia; Eubacteriales; Oscillospiraceae.
GGAGAUGAGGCCUCCCGAAAAUGGCUUGUUUCUGCGCUUUUUGAACCCCUGCUCAUCUGUACCAACAUGCACGGUAAAAUGGCAUUCAAGAGGUAAGGGGUUCGAUCCCCCUCAUCUCCACCA